CCGUAGCUCAGCUGGAUAGAGCGUCGGUUUCCUAAACCGCAGGUCGAAGGUUCAAAUCCUUUCGG
Molecule: transfer RNA, 65 nt
Filed under: human gut metagenome
Rfam family: tRNA
About the family: Transfer RNA (tRNA) molecules are approximately 80 nucleotides in length. Their secondary structure includes four short double-helical elements and three loops (D, anti-codon, and T loops).
Source: RNAcentral